This 468-nucleotide ribosomal RNA is filed under the name uncultured bacterium. Its description in RNAcentral is "partial 16S ribosomal RNA". It matches the Rfam family "Bacterial small subunit ribosomal RNA", at positions 28 to 507 of the family's 1533-position model. The record is from RNAcentral.
GACGAACGCUGGCGGCGUGCUUAACACAUGCAAGUCGAACGGAAAGGCCCUGCUUUUGUGGGGUGCUCGAGUUGAGAACGGGUGAGUAACACGUGAGUAACCUGCCCUUGACUUUGGGAUAACUUCAGGAAACUGGGGCUAAUACCGGCUAGGAGCUACUGCUGCAUGGUGGGGGUUGGAAAGUUUCGGCGGUUGGGGAUGGACUCGCGGCUUAUCAGCUUGUUGGGUGGGUAGUGGCUUACCAAGGCUUUGACGGGUAGCCGGCCUGAGAGGGUGACCGGCCACGUUGGGACUGAGAUACGGCCCAGACUCCUACGGGACGCAGAAGAGGGGAAGAUUGCACAAGGGGCGGAAGCCUGAUGCAGCAACGCCGCGUGGGGGAUGACGGGCUUCGGGUUGUAAACCGCUUUCGCCUGUGACGAAGCGUGAGUGACGGUAAUGGGUAAAGAAGCACCGGCUAACUACGUG